Molecule: ribosomal RNA, 1343 nt
Filed under: uncultured bacterium
Lineage: Bacteria
Description: 16S ribosomal RNA
Rfam family: Bacterial small subunit ribosomal RNA
Source: RNAcentral
GACGAACGCUGGCGGCGUGCUUAACACAUGCAAGUCGAACGGAAAGGCCCUGCUUUUGUGGGGUGCUCGAGUGGCGAACGGGUGAGUAACACGUGAGUAACCUGCCCUUGACUUUGGGAUAACUUCAGGAAACUGGGGCUAAUACCGGAUAGGAGCUCCUGCUGCAUGGUGGGGGUUGGAAAGUUUCGGCGGUUGGGGAUGGACUCGCGGCUUAUCAGCUUGUUGGUGGGGUAGUGGCUUACCAAGGCUUUGACGGGUAGCCGGCCUGAGAGGGUGACCGGCCACAUUGGGACUGAGAUACGGCCCAGACUCCUACGGGAGGCAGCAGUGGGGAAUAUUGCACAAUGGGCGGAAGCCUGAUGCAGCAACGCCGCGUGCGGGAUGACGGCCUUCGGGUUGUAAACCGCUUUCGCCUGUGACGAAGCGUGAGUGACGGUAAUGGGUAAAGAAGCACCGGCUAACUACGUGCCAGCAGCCGCGGUGAUACGUAGGGUGCGAGCGUUGUCCGGAUUUAUUGGGCGUAAAGGGCUCGUAGGUGGUUGAUCGCGUCGGAAGUGUAAUCUUGGGGCUUAACCCUGAGCGUGCUUUCGAUACGGGUUGACUUGAGGAAGGUAGGGGAGAAUGGAAUUCCUGGUGGAGCGGUGGAAUGCGCAGAUAUCAGGAGGAACACCAGUGGCGAAGGCGGUUCUCUGGGCCUUUCCUGACGCUGAGGAGCGAAAGCGUGGGGAGCGAACAGGCUUAGAUACCCUGGUAGUCCACGCUGUAAACGGUGGGUACUAGGUGUGGGGUCCAUUCCACGGGUUCCGUGCCGUAGCUAGCGCUUUAAGUACCCCGCCUGGGGAGUACGGCCGCAAGGCUAAAACUCAAAGGAAUUGACGGGGCCCCGCACAAGCGGCGGAGCACGCGGAUUAAUUCGAUGCAACGCGUAGAACCUUACCUGGGUUUGACAUGGAUCGGGAGUGCUCAGAGAUGGGUGUGCCUCUUUUGGGGUCGGUUCACAGGUGGUGCAUGGCUGUCGUCAGCUCGUGUCGUGAGAUGUUGGGUUAAGUCCCGCAACGAGCGCAACCCUUGUUCACUGUUGCCAGCACGUUAUGGUGGGGACUCAGUGGAGACCGCCGGGGUCAACUCGGAGGAAGGUGGGGAUGACGUCAAGUCAUCAUGCCCCUUAUGUCCAGGGCUUCACGCAUGCUACAAUGGCUGGUACAGAGAGUGGCGAGCCUGUGAGGGUGAGCGGAUCUCGGAAAGCCGGUCUCAGUUCGGAUUGGGGUCUGCAACUCGACCUCAUGAAGUCGGAGUCGCUAGUAAUCGCAGAUCAGCAACGCUGCGGUGAAUACGUUCCCGGG